RNAcentral lists this ribosomal RNA (882 nucleotides) under uncultured bacterium. RNAcentral's name for it is "bacterial SSU rRNA". It matches the Rfam family "Bacterial small subunit ribosomal RNA", at positions 8 to 895 of the family's 1533-position model. The record is from RNAcentral.
AGAGUUUGAUCAUGGCUCAGGACGAACGCUGGCGGUGCGCCUUAUGCAUGCAAGUCGAGCGAAGCUUUUCAGUAGUUUACUACAGAAAAUGACUGAGCGGCGAACGGGUGAGUAACGCGUGAGCAAUCUACCUUAGUUACAGGGAUAGCCCGAGGAAACUCGGAUUAAUACCUGAUAUUCUUUAAAUUUCGCAUGAAAUUAAAAGGAAAGGUCAGCCGAACUAAGAUGAGCUCGCGUUCUAUCAGCUAGUUGGUAAGAUAAAAGCUUACCAAGGCUACGACGGAUAGCUGGUCUGAGAGGACGAUCAGCCACACUGGGACUGAGACACGGCCCAGACUCCUACGGGAGGCUGCAGCAGGGAAUAUUGCGCAAUGAGCGAAAGCUUGACGCAGCGACACCGCGUGUGGGAUGACGGAUCUAGGUUUGUAAACCACUUUCAGGAGGGAAGAAAAUGACGGUACCUCCACAAGAAGCCCCGGCCAACUACGUGCCAGCAGCCGCGGUAAUACGUAGGGGGCGAGCGUUGUCCGGAUUUAUUGGGCGUAAAGAGCUCGUAGGCGGUUCAACAAGUCGUUCGUGAAAGUUUAGGGCUCAACCCUGAAAUGUCGAUCGAUACUGUUGUGACUAGGAUACGGUAGAGGUGAGUGGAAUUCCGAGUGUAGCGGUGAAAUGCGUAGAUAUUCGGAGGAACACCAAUUGCGAAGGCAGCUCACUGGGCCGCUAUCGACGCUGAGGAGCGAAAGCUAGGGGAGCAAACAGGAUUAGAUACCCUGGUAGUCCUAGCUGUAAACGAUGGAUACUAGACGUAGGAACUGGAUUGACGGUUUCUGUGUCGCAGCUAACGCGUUAAGUAUCCCGCCUGGGGAGUACGGUCGCAAGACU